UACGGAGGGUGCAAGCGUUAUCCGGAUUCACUGGGUUUAAAGGGUGCGUAGGUGGGUCUGUAAGUCAGUGGUGAAAUCUUCGAGCUUAACUCGGAAACUGCCAUUGAUACUAUAGGUCUUGAAUUUUCUGGAGGUAAGCGGAAUAUGUCAUGUAGCGGUGAAAUGCUUAGAUAUGACAUAGAACACCAAUUGCGAAGGCAGCUUACUACGGGAACAUUGACACUGAGGCACGAAAGCGUGGGGAUCAAACAGG
This 253-nucleotide ribosomal RNA is filed under the name uncultured bacterium. Its description in RNAcentral is "partial 16S ribosomal RNA". It matches the Rfam family "Bacterial small subunit ribosomal RNA", at positions 524 to 776 of the family's 1533-position model. The record is from RNAcentral.